UCGACAACCUGGUUGAUCCUGCCAGUAGUGUAUGCUUUUCCCAAAGACUAAGCCAUGCAUGUCCGACUAAGAGGAAGCAAUUCUCUCUGAAUCUGCGAACGGCUCCGCAAACCAGUUGUAAACCCAAGCACAGUCCCGCCCGGCUUCAGCAAUGGAGCCGGGCACUAUAUGGAUAACCGUGGUAAUUCUGAGGCUAAUACAUGACAAAAACCUGCCAAGCCGGGGCAACCUGGCGAAGCGGGGGACGCGCGGCAAAAUUGCUGGAAAACCACACGAAAGAACGCACGUUCAGACCGCUGCAACGGGGAAGGGGCCUCACGGCUUCAUCCCUAGCGGCCUAUGCAUCGGGCUUCUGACCUAUCAACUAGACGGCAGCAUAAGGGACAUGCUAUGGUGACAACGGGUACAGAGGAUUAGGGUUCGAUCCUGGAGAGUGGGCCUGAGAGAUUGCUCAUACUUCUAAGGAAGGCAGCAGGCGCGCAACGUUCCCCAUGGGCAAUUGCUCGAGGGCGUUAGGGGAAAUAUGAAUGCCUGCCUAUACGGUGGGCAAUUCAAAUGGGUUUGUCGUAAACAGGCUCUCGAGUAACAAUUAGAGGACAAGUCUGGUGCCAGCACCCGCGGUAAUUCCAGCUCUAAUAGCAUACGUUAAAGUUGUUGCGGUUAAAACGCUCGUAGUCGGCUCCAGAUCGUCAGAAGCCUGACCCAGGACCUCGGGCCUGUACCCCUCACGGGGUGCGCCUUGGAACAGGGGAGGGUGGGCGGCGGUCAAGCGUGCCCGGUGGCGUGCCUUGGUUCACUCCUCGGCUUACAGGGAGUUCCCAUCAGCCAAACUGAAGCCGUCGGCGCAAGCCGGUGGCCGAAAUGCGGCCGGGUUCUCCUGGCUCCGGGUACCAUUUACCAUGAUUAAACCGGCGUGAUCAAAGCAGGACACUGCGUUCACUGCACGGCUUAGCAUGGCAUAAGGCCAACGAAGCCGCCCCUUCCAGCAGGGGGCGGAUUCAGAAGCCAGCGAAAGGGGUGUUCGGGGGCAGCCGAAUUGCCGGGCGAGUGGUGAAAUACGUUGACCCUGGCAAGUCGACCAAAAGCGAAAGCAGCUGUCAAGGGCACGCCCGUUGAUCAAGAGCGAAAGUUAAGGGUUCGAAGACGAUCAGAUACCGUCGUAGUCUUAACUAUAAAUGAUACUGGCCAGGGAUAGGGCAAUGUCCAUCUCGACUCCCCCCGCACCUUAGGGAAACCAAAGCCUAUGAGUUCUGGGGGGAGUAUGGUCGCAAGGCUGAAACUUAAAGGAAUUGACGGAAAGGCACACAAAGAGUGGAACCUGCGGCUUAAUUUGACUCAACACGGGAAAACUCACCGGGUCCAGAUACAUGCAUGAAAGACAAGCUGAUAGACUUUUCUCAAUUAUGUAAGUGGUGGUGCAUGGCCGUUCUUAGUUCGUGGAGUGGUUCGUCUGGUCUAUUCCGAUAACGAGCGAGACCCCAACGGUCUAAAUAGGGGCAGCGGCUGGGAUUCCCCGGCCUUCACGGGUGAAGGGGUCCUAACAGUCGCAUGCCUGUAAAAACGAGCUUCUUAGACGGAUCGGGGCCGACAAGGUCCCUGAAAUGGGUUAAUAACAGGUCAGUCAUGCCCUUAGAUGUUCCGGGCCGCACGCGCGUUACAAUGGGAGGCAUAAAGAGUGUUCUUCGGAGCCGCCCCAUGCCCUACAGGGCACGGUAAACAUUAGGGCCUCCCUUGACUGGGAUCGGCUAUUGCAAUUAUUGGUCGUAAACGAGGAAUUUUUAGUAGGCGCGGGUCAUUAGCCCGUGCCGAAUGCGUCCCUGCCUUUUGUACACACCGCCCGUCGCUGCUACCGAUUGGGCAUCGCGGUUACGCGUUCGGAGGGCCCUGCAACUGCCGGCUUCGGUCGGUGGGAACUAGGCUCGAAGUUCUAAGUACCGCACGGCCUAGAGGAAGCAGAAGUCGUAACAAGGUAAUCGUAGGUGAACCUGCAGAAGGAUCAAGCUUGGAUCCCGGG
RNAcentral lists this ribosomal RNA (2014 nucleotides) under Symphytocarpus impexus. RNAcentral describes it as "SSU rRNA". It matches the Rfam family "Eukaryotic small subunit ribosomal RNA". The record is from RNAcentral. Lineage: Eukaryota; Evosea; Eumycetozoa; Stemonitida; Stemonitidae.